CGUCUAAUUUGGGAUUUGCAUCCCAGAACGCUAUUCGUGUUUCCAGCUGGUGUCAACCGUCUGAAGCAGAAUGGUUUUGGGAAAUAAACACCUGACACGUCACCAUGUACUGCUCAUUCUGACAUAUGUCUUCAGAGUUGAUACACUUGAAUGUCAUCAAACUGAGUAUCAGCUCAACGAGAAGCAAUGUUGUCCAAAGUGUCCAAUUGGAAGUCAGGUUAGGAGCGACUGCACCAAACGUGGCAGCACAUCAUGCCAGCUGUGCCUGAACGGAACCUACAUGAAUAUCCCGACUGGCCUCAAAAACUGCUUGCCGUGCACAAACUGCAAUGCAGUCCUCUACGUUCUCCUGCACACCCGAGGCUCAGUCAUGAACAGAUUUCAUACUGUUACUAUGUUUAGGUGCAAGGACCGUCCUGUUCAGUUUGCCUCGUCUGAUUUCAUCUGGUUCCCACGGUCUUCCCUCAAUUGUCGUCAGUUUUAAAUCAUCACCCAAGGAUCACAGAACCUACUCUGCGCCAAGCUACAAUUGUCAUAUAACAGAUCUGGUCUGGCGAUAAAGAAGGCGUGUACCAGGGAGUCAGACGCAGUGUGUAAACCACUUGAUGGCUUCUUCUGUGUGGACCAAG
Molecule: RNA transcript, 629 nt
Organism: Hippocampus comes (tiger tail seahorse)
Lineage: Eukaryota; Metazoa; Chordata; Actinopteri; Syngnathiformes; Syngnathidae
Gene name: tumor necrosis factor receptor superfamily member 14-like
Exons: 6
Source: RefSeq, a predicted model, not a curated record